GGGACCAAUUGCCAACGCCAGAAGAUCUCGUGUCGAAGUCAAGGCCCCAGGAAUCAUCCCACGUUUGUCUGUGCGCGAACCAAUGGUUACUGGAGUCAAGGCCGUCGAUUCUCUU
RNAcentral lists this small RNA (115 nucleotides) under Caenorhabditis elegans. RNAcentral describes it as "Unclassified non-coding RNA H28O16.4". Lineage: Eukaryota; Metazoa; Nematoda; Chromadorea; Rhabditida; Rhabditidae. The record is from RNAcentral.